RNAcentral lists this ribosomal RNA (419 nucleotides) under uncultured bacterium. Its description in RNAcentral is "bacterial SSU rRNA". It matches the Rfam family "Bacterial small subunit ribosomal RNA", at positions 358 to 774 of the family's 1533-position model. The record is from RNAcentral.
GGAAUAUUGGUCAAUGGGCGUAAGCCUGAACCAGCCAAGUAGCGUGCAGGAUGACGGCCCUAUGGGUUGUAAACUGCUUUUAUACGGGGAUAAAGUCGCCCACGUGUGGGUGUUUGUAGGUACCGUAUGAAUAAGGACCGGCUAAUUCCGUGCCAGCAGCCGCGGUAAUACGGAAGGUCCGGGCGUUAUCCGGAUUUAUUGGGUUUAAAGGGAGCGCAGGCGGGAGCUUAAGCGUGACGUGAAAUGUAGCCGCUCAACGGCUGAGUUGCGUCGCGAACUGGGUUUCUUGAGUGAGUACGACGCGGACGGAAUUCGUGGUGUAGCGGUGAAAUGCUUAGAUAUCACGAAGAACCCCGAUUGCGAAGGCAGUCCGCGAGUCCUUUACUGACGCUAAAGCUCGAAGGUGCGGGUAUCGAACA